This 484-nucleotide ribosomal RNA is filed under the name uncultured bacterium. RNAcentral describes it as "partial 16S ribosomal RNA". It matches the Rfam family "Bacterial small subunit ribosomal RNA", at positions 30 to 507 of the family's 1533-position model. The record is from RNAcentral.
AUUGAACGCUGGCGGCAGGCCUAACACAUGCAAGUCGAGCGGAUGAAGGGAGCUUGCUCCUGGAUUCAGCGUCGGACGGGUGAGUAAUGCCUAGGAAUCUGCCUGGUUGUGGUGGAUAACGUCCGGAGACGGGCGCUACUACCGCAUACUUCCUGCGGGUGCAAGUGGGGGGUCUUCGGACCUCACGCUCUCAGAUGAGCCUAGGUCGGAUUAGAUAGUUGGUGGGGUAAAGGCCUACCUAGGCGACGAUCCGUAACUGGUCUGAGAGGAUGAUCAGUCACAUGGGAACGGGGACACGGUCAAGACGACUAAGGGAGGGAGCAGUGGGGAAUAGGGGACAAUGGGCGAAAGCAUGAUACAGCCAGGCCGCGUGUGUGAAGAAGGUCUUCGGAGUGUAAAGAAGUUUAAGUGGGGAGGAAGGGCAGUAAGUUAAUACCUAGCUGGUGUGACGGUACCAACAGAAUAAGCACCGGCUAACUACGUG